This 460-nucleotide ribosomal RNA is filed under the name uncultured bacterium. RNAcentral's name for it is "partial 16S ribosomal RNA". It matches the Rfam family "Bacterial small subunit ribosomal RNA", at positions 338 to 795 of the family's 1533-position model. The record is from RNAcentral.
CCUACGGGUGGCAGCAGUGAGGAAUAUUGGUCAAUGGACGAGAGUCUGAACUAGCCAAGUAGCGUGAAGGAUGACUGCCCUAUGGGUUGUAAACUUCUUUUAUAUGGGAAUAAAAUGUUCCACGUGUGGGAUUUUGUAUGUACCAUAUGAAUAAGGAUCGGCUAACUCCGUGCCAGCAGCCGCGGUAAUACGGAGGAGCCGAUCGUUAUCCGGAUUUCUUGGGGUUAAAGGGGGCGUAGGUGGAUUGUUAAGUCAGUUGUGAAUGUUUGCGGCUCAACCGUAAAAUUGCAGGUGAAACUGGCAGUCUGGAGUACAGUAGAGGUGGGCGGAAUUCGUGGUGUAGCGGUGAAAUGCUUAGAUAUCACGAAGAACUCCGAGUGCGAAGGCAGCUCACUGGACUGCAACUGACACUGAGGCUCGAAAGUGUGGGUAUCAAACAGGAUUAGAUACCCGGGUAGUC